RNAcentral lists this ribosomal RNA (372 nucleotides) under uncultured organism. RNAcentral's name for it is "bacterial SSU rRNA". It matches the Rfam family "Bacterial small subunit ribosomal RNA", at positions 526 to 896 of the family's 1533-position model. The record is from RNAcentral.
CAGAGACUGCAAGCGUUAUUCGGAUUCACUGGGCGUAAAGGGUGCGCAGGCGGCCGAGUGUGUGAGGCGUGAAAGCCCGGGGCUUAACCCCGGAAUUGCACCUCAAACUACACGGCUAGAGCAUUGGAGAGGGUAGCAGAAUUCAUGGUGUAGCAGUGAAAUGCGUAGAUAUCAUGAGGAAUACCAGAGGCGAAGGCGGCUACCUGGACAAUUGCUGACGCUCAGGCACGAAAGCGUGGGGAGCAAAAGGGAUUAGAUACCCCUGUAGUCCACGCCCUAAACGGUGCACACUAGGUCUUGGCGGAUUCGACCCCCCCAGGGCCCAAGCUAACGCGUUAAGUGUGCCGCCUGAGGACUACGGCCGCAAGGCUA